This 455-nucleotide ribosomal RNA is filed under the name Candida albicans. RNAcentral describes it as "partial large subunit ribosomal RNA". It matches the Rfam family "Eukaryotic large subunit ribosomal RNA", at positions 95 to 526 of the family's 3401-position model. The record is from RNAcentral. Lineage: Eukaryota; Fungi; Ascomycota; Pichiomycetes; Serinales; Debaryomycetaceae.
GAAGCGGCAAAAGCUCAAAUUUGAAAUCUGGCGUCUUUGGCGUCCCAGUUGUAAUUUGAAGAAGGUAUCUUUGGGCCCGGCUCUUGUCUAUGUUCCUUGGAACAGGACGUCACAGAGGGUGAGAAUCCCGUGCGAUGAGAUGACCCGGGUCUGUGUAAAGUUCCUUCGACGAGUCGAGUUGUUUGGGAAUGCAGCUCUAAGUGGGUGGUAAAUUCCAUCUAAACCUAAAUAUUGGCGAGAGACCGAUAGCGAACAAGUACAGUGAUGGAAAGAUGAAAAAAACUUUGAAAAGAGAGUGAAAAAGUACGUGAAAUUGUUGAAAGGGAAGGGCUUGAGAUCAGACUUGGUAUUUUGCAUGCUGCUCUCUCGGGGGCGGCCGCUGCGGUUUACCGGGCCAGCAUCGGUUUGGAGCGGCAGGAUAAUGGCGGAGGAAUGUGGCACGGCUUCUGCUGUGU